RNAcentral lists this long non-coding RNA (244 nucleotides) under Panax ginseng (ginseng). Its description in RNAcentral is "long non-coding RNA (PGIN_LNC018408)". Lineage: Eukaryota; Viridiplantae; Streptophyta; Magnoliopsida; Apiales; Araliaceae. The record is from RNAcentral.
GAUAAUAUAGAGAGAGAAAACUUCAGUUUCUGGUGUGAUUUUCAAUUCUAACCUAAGCACCUAUUUAUAGGAAAUUGCUUAGAACACCAAAGCAGAAAAUUUAAUAUAAUAAUAUAUUUAUAAAAAAAUUUCUACGCCAUCCUUUGGGAAUCUGAAAUCAGCCACCUAGCAUGUGAUUAAUGAGGCUCACAACAUAUAAAAAACGUUUUUGUUAUUUUAAACAAUUAAAACUUCCAAAAAUCAA